GCUUCGUCUAUCUCUAGACCCCAGCGUCGAAGGGUCUUCAGCACACGGGCGCCUGAACUGGCUGCACUCCUAGCUGUAACCAGCCAUCAUCCAUGGAAAGUCAAGAUUAGCCUCCUGGAUGGAUUUGUGAGAAGUAGAGCCUCUCCUCCAAACCAGAGAAGCCACUGUGUACCAGCUUGUCCUAUUAGCAUACCACGUGCCCAGGAGUAAACAGGCAAUGGUGGGACCACAGACAGAUUAACCCAUCACCUAAGGGAAAGAAGCCUGAGAGAGCAAUGAUGAAUGAAAAUAUUAAUCAUCACAUAUCUUCCAUUGAAUAUAUCAUCAUCAUGGUGGGAACACAGGUCCCGUGACUUGAGACACCUAUGUGCCUCUGAGAGGGUGAAUGGAAGCUGGGCUUUCUCCACGGGGUUCUAAAGAGUUUGGACACAUAGAUUCAGAGGCAUCUUUGGAUGAUCAUACAGGGCUCUUAAACAUCUCCCUGUGGAAGAGAGCAGUCCAUGCUGCCAACUCCCAGAUUCUCAUCCUGGGAGAUUGGGAGAAUACCCUGUGUCAUUUCCUGUCCCCUGAGUGCUGCCAAUACACAUGCAGGCGCAUCAUCAAUAUUUGAGGUGAAUCCUGCCAAUAUGCAAUCUAAACUUCUUCUGAAUCAAUUUGGCCACUAAGGAUUUUAGAGAAUACCAGGUCCUAUGCCAGACAUUGGGAAUAACAAGAUUAAAGAAGCACAGUUCCUGCCUUUGAAGAACUUAGUAGCAAUGGCGAUGAGGAUGCUCAGGAAUUGUGCAACAGUACAAGUGAUGCGUGAGCACUGAAGAGAGAGCAGAGAAUGUCCCUAACAGUAAUGGUGCAUGAACUGAAUUUCAAAACAGUAAAGAGAAUGGGGCAUCAGUGUUCUGGCCACAAAUGAAAAAGAUCAGAGGUCUGAGAGAGCUUGCUCUGUUGGAGGAACUACAUGUCAUGUAUUAUUACUGGAGCAUGAAUUCCGUGGAAGAGCAUUGGGAAAGGUCUUGGAUAUCAGGAGAGAGCAUUUGGAUAUCUUUCUGGAAGAGACGGUGAGUCAGAGAUCUACUUUCCAUCUAAUCUGCCAGUAUUUCCCAACUUCUUUUUUCUAAUACCCUAUGAAUUUUUUGCAUUUUACUUAAAAGUAAUAUUGUUUGAGUUCCCCAGCAGCAGAGAGUAAUGAACAAUGAUCAGAACAGUUAGGUUAGAAGAACUUAAAACUAGUUCCCAAGUGUCAGGACACAUUCUUUACUGCUGCUGUGUCCCAUGUGGGGUAUGAGAAGCACCUUCUGUUAUAUUUAUCUCCUUUGGUCCUCUCAGUAGAUUUAUAGAGUGAAGUGGAAUUUCAUUCAUUUGCUAGAAAAGAAAACAGAGACCCUGGGAGAUAAACUGAUGUUUGCCAAGCCAUGCAGAGAGCCAGCAGUGGUUUAUUUCCAGAGCCCAGGCCUCCUGGUCCCAGUGAAAUGUUUCUGCCAUGAGUCACAUGUGGACUUUCUGCUCUGCUG
Long non-coding RNA from Cercocebus atys (sooty mangabey), 1505 nucleotides. RefSeq lists it as uncharacterized. The transcript has 6 exons. NCBI's taxonomy places the organism in Eukaryota, Metazoa, Chordata, Mammalia, Primates, Cercopithecidae. The record is from RefSeq and is a predicted model, not a curated record.